RNAcentral lists this ribosomal RNA (496 nucleotides) under uncultured bacterium. Its description in RNAcentral is "bacterial SSU rRNA". It matches the Rfam family "Bacterial small subunit ribosomal RNA", at positions 64 to 551 of the family's 1533-position model. The record is from RNAcentral.
GGGGGAUCAGUUGGGUAGCAAUACCUGGCUGUGAGACCGGCAAACGGGUGAGGAACACGUACGCAACUUUCCCAAAACUGGUGAAUAGCCCUCCGAAAGGAGGAUUAAUACACCGUAACAUAACGAAAUGGCAUCAUUUUGNUAUUAUAGCAGCAAUGCGGUUUUGGAUAGGCGUGCGCCUGAUUAGGUAGUUGGCGGGGUAACGGCCCACCAAGCCUACGAUCAGUAACUGGUGUGAGAGCACGACCAGUCACACGGGCACUGAGACACGGGCCCGACUCCUACGGGAGGCAGCAGUAAGGAAUAUUGGGCAAUGGACGAAAGUCUGAACCAGCCAUGCCGCGUGAAGGAUGAAGGUCCUCUGGAUUGUAAACUUCUUUUAUCUGGGACGAAAAAAGGGAAUUCUUUCUCACUUGACGGUACCAGAAGAAUAAGCACCGGCUAACUCCGUGCCAGCAGCCGCGGUAAUACGGAGGGUGCAAGCGUUAUCCGGAUU